This 118-nucleotide small RNA is filed under the name Paenibacillus pectinilyticus. RNAcentral describes it as "Bacillus sRNA ncr1015". It matches the Rfam family "Bacillus sRNA ncr1015". The record is from Rfam by way of RNAcentral. Lineage: Bacteria; Bacillati; Bacillota; Bacilli; Caryophanales; Paenibacillaceae.
GUGUAAGAUACAUUAAUUAUGUACAUUAAUACCAAUAAAUUCGUAAUUUGAUUAUAGCAUCGUGCCUUUUUAUAUGCAAUAUGACGAACCUGUGAUAACUUUCCAGGUUCUUUUUUGA